RNAcentral lists this transfer RNA (74 nucleotides) under bacterium. RNAcentral's name for it is "tRNA-Gln". It matches the Rfam family "tRNA". Rfam says of the family: Transfer RNA (tRNA) molecules are approximately 80 nucleotides in length. Their secondary structure includes four short double-helical elements and three loops (D, anti-codon, and T loops). RNAcentral also lists the same sequence under 2 other names. The record is from RNAcentral.
UGGGGAGUAGUGUAACGGCAGCACACGGGACUUUGGAUCCCUUAGUGGAGGUUCGAGUCCUCCCUCCCCAGCCA